RNAcentral lists this long non-coding RNA (649 nucleotides) under Ictidomys tridecemlineatus (thirteen-lined ground squirrel). RNAcentral describes it as "lncRNA (ENSSTOG00000034830.1)". Lineage: Eukaryota; Metazoa; Chordata; Mammalia; Rodentia; Sciuridae. The record is from RNAcentral.
UUUCACUUCACUGACUAUGGUAGGUUUUUGUGGCCGGAAAGUUUUUCCAGUGGAUUACCCCUGGGACAAGGAGAAGUACAUGUUCUGUAAGAGCUAAAUUGAGAUUGAAGUUCCAAAGUGGCUUAAGGAAGGGGGAAAGUGGGAGUAUCAAGGAAGGUGGUGAAAUAAGGUUGGGAGCAGAGACAGGACUGCAUCGCAGGAGCCCACUCAGAUAGCAGACUCUGCAUCUGGCUCCUCAGCCUCCACUGGGAGCCCCUCAGCAAGACUGUUACGGGGACACAGAAGCAGGUGGAAAACCUCACAAGACUCAGUCAACUCUAUUGGCAUCAUGUCUUGCUCCAAGGACUCAGAUGAGCUUAUUUUCUUUGUGAAUGGAAGAAAACUCUGUUUCCAGGGAUGUUAAAUCAUCCUAAGAAAUGUCCUUUGAUGGGGACCCUCAACUUCUUGGUCAGCAUCAUAUUUAACUGAGGCUCCAGCAUUGGUCUCCAGGGCCAACACCAGGCUACCUGUGAACACAUGAUCCUUGCCUGGACUGCCCUUCCAUGCAACUGAAGGUUCACAAACAGGAGCUCUGAGAGCCAAAACCAGUUUGAGUUUCCCAAAGGUGAGCCUCAGUGUAUGUCUUGCCAAUCUGCCUCCUGGAGGUUAU